AUGUCGAGUCGAUUAACGACAUUGUAUCAGUUUCUCUUGUCUUUCGGUACCGCUAUUGUUUUAGCAGGUUCACCGUUGCACCACUAGCCUUGUCUUCCCCAACAAUGUAUUGCAAACAUAACCGCUUAAAUUGAAUGAUAUCAAUUAAUGGUCGUUAUGCCGAGUAAUUGUAUCAAUGGAAACUGUAACGUUUCUCAAAUUUUUGCGGAAUGAGUUAUGUUUAGAGAUGGAUGAUGUCGACACCUACUUGUUGUGAUGCUCUUCCUGCUUUUGCACCAUUUUAAGGUCCCAAAAUCUGUUUGGAGUCCGA
Molecule: long non-coding RNA, 310 nt
Filed under: Trifolium pratense (red clover)
Lineage: Eukaryota; Viridiplantae; Streptophyta; Magnoliopsida; Fabales; Fabaceae
Description: long non-coding RNA (TPRA_LNC006989)
Source: RNAcentral